UGAGGGAAUAUUUGGGUCAAUGGGCGCAAGCCUGAACCAGCCAAGUAGCGUGAGGGAAGACUGCCCUACGGGUUGUAAACCUCUUUUGUUUGGGAAUAAAGUGCGGGACGUGUCCCGCAUUGCAUGUACCAUUUGAAUAAGGACCGGCUAAUUCCGUGCCAGCAGCCGCGGUAAUGCGGAAGGUCCGGGCGUUAUCCGGAUUUAUUGGGUUUAAAGGGAGCGUAGGCGGACUAUCAAGUCAGUUGUGAAAGUCAUCGGCUCAACCGCUGAAUUGCAGUUGAAACUGGUAGUCUUGAGUGCACAUGAGGAUGGUGGAAUUCGUAGUGUAGCGGUGAAAUGCUUAGAUAUUACGAAGAACUCCGAUUGCGAAGGCAGCUAUCUGGGGUGCAACUGACGCUGAGGCUCGAAGGUGUGGGUAUCAAACAGGAUUAGAUACCCUGGUAGU
This 445-nucleotide ribosomal RNA is filed under the name uncultured bacterium. Its description in RNAcentral is "bacterial SSU rRNA". It matches the Rfam family "Bacterial small subunit ribosomal RNA", at positions 352 to 794 of the family's 1533-position model. The record is from RNAcentral.